RNAcentral lists this ribosomal RNA (508 nucleotides) under uncultured bacterium. RNAcentral describes it as "partial 16S ribosomal RNA". It matches the Rfam family "Bacterial small subunit ribosomal RNA", at positions 28 to 507 of the family's 1533-position model. The record is from RNAcentral.
GACGAACGCUGGCGGCGUGCCUAAUACAUGCAAGUCGAACGCUUCUUUCCUCCCGAGUGCUUGCACUCAAUUGGAAAGCGGCGUGGCGGACGGGUGAGUAACACGUGGGUAACCUACCCAUCAGAGGGGGAUGACACUUGGAAACAGGUGCUAAUACCGCAUAACAGUUUAUGCCGCAUGGCAUAAGAGUGAAAGGCGCUUUCGGGUGUCGCUGAUGGAUGGACCCGCGGUGCAUUAGCUAGUUGGUGAGGUAACGGCUCACCAAGGCCACGAUGCAUAGCCGACCUGAGAGGGUGAUCGGCCACACUGGGACUGAGACACGGCCCAGACUCCUACGGGAGGCAGCAGUAGGGAAUCUUCGGCAAUGGACGAAAGUCUGACCGAGCAACGCCGCGUGAGUGAAGAAGGUUUUCGGAUCGUAAAACUCUGUUGUUAGAGAAGAACAAGGACGUUAGUAACUGAACGUCCCCUGACGGUAUCUAACCAGAAAGCCACGGCUAACUACGUG